RNAcentral lists this long non-coding RNA (264 nucleotides) under Cricetulus griseus (Chinese hamster). RNAcentral describes it as "lncRNA (ENSCGRG00015039118.1)". Lineage: Eukaryota; Metazoa; Chordata; Mammalia; Rodentia; Cricetidae. The record is from RNAcentral.
GGAAUUUGAUGAUGAUGAUGACUGCAUAGCCCUGGGAACACAGCAAAGUCCACCAAAUUAUACUUUAGAUGGUGUGGGGCCACCAACUGGAGCACAGUCAAAUCCCAGGAACCACAGACUUAAAGAAACUGACUCUCCUUCCCCUGGAAACCAUCAGCUGUCCAUAACUCCCCAGUUGGGGUGGAACUCAUGAGCUCUUGAAUGUGGACUGGCUUGAUCUUGUUCAGAUCUUGUGUGUUGGGAGCCAUACAGCUUGGCAUGAAC